Molecule: ribosomal RNA, 511 nt
Filed under: uncultured bacterium
Lineage: Bacteria
Description: bacterial SSU rRNA
Rfam family: Bacterial small subunit ribosomal RNA
Source: RNAcentral
GAUCCGUGGCUCAGGAUGAACGCUGGCGGCGUGCUUAACACAUGCAACGUCGAACGAAGCGCAUUGGUUAGAAUUCUACGGGAAGGAAGAUAAUGUGACUGAGUGGCGGACGGGUGAGUAACGCGUGGGUAACCUGCCAUGUACAGGGGGACAACAGUUGGAAACGGCUGCUAAUACCGCAUAAGCGCACGAGAUUGCAUGAUCUAGUGUGAAAAACUCCGGUGGUAUAUGAUGGACCCGCGUCUGAUUAGCUAGUUGGUAAGGUAACGGCUUACCAAGGCGACGAUCAGUAGCCGACCUGAGAGGGUGACCGGCCACAUUGGGACUGAGACACGGCCCAGACUCCUACGGGAGGCAGCAGUGGGGAAUAUUGCACAAUGGGCGAAAGCCUGAUUGCAGCGACGCCGCGUGAACGAAGAAGUUAUUUCGGUAUGUAAAGUUCUAUCAGCAGGGAAGAAGAAAUGACGGUACCUGACUAAGAAGCCCCGGCUAACUACGUGCCAGCAGCCGC